CAGAGGAAGGUUGCGGCAAUAACAGGUCUGUGAUGCCCUCAGAUGUCCCGGGCUGCACACGUGCUACAAUGAGUGGCGCAAUGUGCUAAUGUUUAAGGGAUAAGAGUGUGGUCAGUAGAACGUCGGGAUUUCCCCUGACGUCUCCCCCGCACGAUUAUCAGCCUUCCCUUAACAGGGCGGGCAACCUUUUCAAAAUACUGGUUUGAUGUUAAAGUAUUGAGUCGUUUUUUUUGGAUGGUGGUUUGUUAACCAAUACCAUCCGGCAACUGCUCGCGAGUUUGUGGUUCUGGCGACUCAUGGUGGGG
RNAcentral lists this ribosomal RNA (305 nucleotides) under Globigerinoides ruber albus. RNAcentral's name for it is "partial small subunit ribosomal RNA". The stretch from base 1 to 237 matches the Rfam family "Eukaryotic small subunit ribosomal RNA", at positions 1435 to 1605 of the family's 1831-position model. Lineage: Eukaryota; Foraminifera; Rotaliida; Globigerinidae. The record is from RNAcentral.